This 1063-nucleotide ribosomal RNA is filed under the name Nocardiopsis alba. RNAcentral describes it as "bacterial SSU rRNA". It matches the Rfam family "Bacterial small subunit ribosomal RNA", at positions 404 to 1475 of the family's 1533-position model. Lineage: Bacteria; Bacillati; Actinomycetota; Actinomycetes; Streptosporangiales; Nocardiopsidaceae. The record is from RNAcentral.
GGGGAUAAGGCCUCGUUGUAACCUCUUUUACCACCAACCCGGGUUCGGUUCUUUUGGGUGACGGUAGGGGGGAAUAGGACAGCUAACUACGUCCCAGCAGCCGCGUAAUACGUAGGGUCCGAGCGUGUCCGGAAUUAUUGGGCGUAAAGAGCUAGUAGGCGGCGUGUCGCGUUUGCUGUGAAAGACCGGGGCUUAACUCCGGUACUGCAGUGGAUACGGGCAUGCUAGAGGUAGGUAGGGGAGACUGGAAUUCCUGGUGUAGCGGUGAAAUGCGCAGAUAUCAGGAGGAACACCGGUGGCGAAGGCGGGUCUCUGGGCCUUACCUGACGCUGAGGAGCGAAAGCAUGGGGAGCGAACAGGAUUAGAUACCCUGGUAGUCCAUGCCGUAAACGUUGGGCGCUAGGUGUGGGGACUUUCCACGGUUUCCGCGCCGUAGCUAACGCAUUAAGCGCCCCGCCUGGGGAGUACGGCCGCAAGGCUAAAACUCAAAGGAAUUGACGGGGGCCCGCACAAGCGGCGGAGCAUGUUGCUUAAUUUGACGCAACGCGAAGAACCUUACCAAGGUUUGACAUCACCCGUGGACCUGUAGAGAUACAGGGUCAUUUAGUUGGUGGGUGACAGGUGGUGCAUGGCUGUCGUCAGCUCGUGUCGUGAGAUGUUGGGUUAAGUCCCGCAACGAGCGCAACCCUUGUUCCAUGUUGCCAGCACGUAAUGGUGGGGACUCAUGGGAGACUGCCGGGGUCAACUCGGAGGAAGGUGGGGACGACGUCAAGUCAUCAUGCCCCUUAUGUCUUGGGCUGCAAACAUGCUACAAUGGCCGGUACAAUGGGCGUGCGAUACCGUAAGGUGGAGCGAAUCCCUUAAAGCCGGUCUCAGUUCGGAUUGGGGUCUGCAACUCGACCCCAUGAAGGUGGAGUCGCUAGUAAUCGCGGAUCAGCAACGCCGCGGUGAAUACGUUCCCGGGCCUUGUACACACCGCCCGUCACGUCAUGAAAGUCGGCAACACCCGAAACUUGCGGCCUAACCCUUCGGGGAGGGAGUGAGUGAAGGUGGGGCUGGCGAU